CUUCCUCGGUCUGUGCACAGAGUUGCCUGGUCACUGUGGUGUGUGAGGAUCCUUUCCCCUGGGUCGCCGGCUGGUUUCUUUCGACAUUGCUGAGUCCAGGUUUAUUUGUCACACCAGUAGUUCUGGAGCAAAAGUUCAUGAUGUGGGUCUCCACACACUGUUCUGUCUGUCCAAGUGGGAGCUGCAAUCUGGUCCUGCCUGCCGUCUGCCAUGAUGUUCUUGAAAACCAACAAGUGCUUCUUAAAUGCUGACGUAUCAUUUUCCCAUGUCUGAGCCAACUCAGCAUGAACACAAUGAGGAUGAAGGCAUUUAUGAUGACCCCACUUCCUCUUAAUAAACAGUAAAUAUAUA
Homo sapiens (human) is the source of this 351-nucleotide long non-coding RNA. RefSeq lists it as uncharacterized. The transcript is spliced from 3 exons. The record is from RefSeq and is a predicted model, not a curated record. Lineage: Eukaryota; Metazoa; Chordata; Mammalia; Primates; Hominidae.